RNAcentral lists this ribosomal RNA (709 nucleotides) under Escherichia coli. RNAcentral's name for it is "bacterial SSU rRNA". It matches the Rfam family "Bacterial small subunit ribosomal RNA", at positions 823 to 1532 of the family's 1533-position model. Lineage: Bacteria; Pseudomonadati; Pseudomonadota; Gammaproteobacteria; Enterobacterales; Enterobacteriaceae. The record is from RNAcentral.
GUUGUGCCCUUGAGGCGUGGCUUCCGGAGCUAACGCGUUAAGUCGACCGCCUGGGGAGUACGGCCGCAAGGUUAAAACUCAAAUGAAUUGACGGGGGCCCGCACAAGCGGUGGAGCAUGUGGUUUAAUUCGAUGCAACGCGAAGAACCUUACCUGGUCUUGACAUCCACGGAAGUUUUCAGAGAUGAGAAUGUGCCUUCGGGAACCGUGAGACAGGUGCUGCAUGGCUGUCGUCAGCUCGUGUUGUGAAAUGUUGGGUUAAGUCCCGCAACGAGCGCAACCCUUAUCCUUUGUUGCCAGCGGUCCGGCCGGGAACUCAAAGGAGACUGCCAGUGAUAAACUGGAGGAAGGUGGGGAUGACGUCAAGUCAUCAUGGCCCUUACGACCAGGGCUACACACGUGCUACAAUGGCGCAUACAAAGAGAAGCGACCUCGCGAGAGCAAGCGGACCUCAUAAAGUGCGUCGUAGUCCGGAUUGGAGUCUGCAACUCGACUCCAUGAAGUCGGAAUCGCUAGUAAUCGUGGAUCAGAAUGCCACGGUGAAUACGUUCCCGGGCCUUGUACACACCGCCCGUCACACCAUGGGAGUGGGUUGCAAAAGAAGUAGGUAGCUUAACCUUCGGGAGGGCGCUUACCACUUUGUGAUUCAUGACUGGGGUGAAGUCGUAACAAGGUAACCGUAGGGGAACCUGCGGUUGGAUCACCUCCUU